CAGUCGCCGCGGUAACACAGAGGGUGCGAGCGUUAAUCGGAUUUACUGGGCGUAAAGCGUGCGUAGGCGGCUUUUUAAGUCGGAUGUGAAAUCCCUGAGCUUAACUUAGGAAUUGCAUUCGAUACUGGGAAGCUAGAGUAUGGGAGAGGAUGGUAGAAUUCCAGGUGUAGCGGUGAAAUGCGUAGAGAUCUGGAGGAAUACCGAUGGCGAAGGCAGCCAUCUGGCCUAAUACUGACGCUGAGGUACGAAAGCAUGGGGAGCAAACAGGAUUAGAUACCCGGGUAGUCCCUGUCUCUUAUAA
Molecule: ribosomal RNA, 301 nt
Filed under: uncultured bacterium
Lineage: Bacteria
Description: partial 16S ribosomal RNA
Rfam family: Bacterial small subunit ribosomal RNA
Source: RNAcentral